UAGGGAAUCUUCGGCAAUGGACGAAAAGUCUGACCGAGCAACGCCGCGUGAGUGAAGAAGGUUUUCGGAUCGUAAAACUCUGUUGGUAGAGAAGAACGUUGGUGAGAGUGGAAAGCUCAUCAAGUGACGGUAACUACCCUGAAAGGGACGGCUAACUACGUGCCA
This 165-nucleotide ribosomal RNA is filed under the name uncultured bacterium. Its description in RNAcentral is "partial 16S rRNA". It matches the Rfam family "Bacterial small subunit ribosomal RNA", at positions 355 to 510 of the family's 1533-position model. The record is from RNAcentral.